CGCAGGAUAGAGCAGUCUGGUAGCUCGUGGGGCUCAUAACCCCAAGGUCGCAGGUUCGAAUCCUGCUCCUGCA
RNAcentral lists this transfer RNA (73 nucleotides) under Kirchneriella aperta. RNAcentral's name for it is "tRNA-Met". It matches the Rfam family "tRNA". From Rfam's summary of the family: Transfer RNA (tRNA) molecules are approximately 80 nucleotides in length. Their secondary structure includes four short double-helical elements and three loops (D, anti-codon, and T loops). Further hydrogen bonds mediate the characteristic L-shaped molecular structure. tRNAs have two regions of fundamental functional importance: the anti-codon, which is responsible for specific mRNA codon recognition, and the 3' end, to which the tRNAs corresponding amino acid is attached (by aminoacyl-tRNA synthetases). tRNAs cope with the degeneracy of the genetic code in two manners: having more than one tRNA (with a specific anti-codon) for a particular amino acid; and 'wobble' base-pairing, i.e. permitting non-standard base-pairing at the 3rd anti-codon position. Lineage: Eukaryota; Viridiplantae; Chlorophyta; Chlorophyceae; Sphaeropleales; Selenastraceae. The record is from RNAcentral.